AAAACUGCCCAAGUUCCUCCCCCACUGCUUCAUGUACGUCCUUCCCAAAGCUGCACGUUCCCCUAAAUAGAGGAGAGCCCAUCUUCUAUCAAGGGUAUAUUAGUAGCUGCACUCCCCUGCUAGAACCUUCAGACAAGCUGUCUAGUAAAAUAUAUUUUUAAAAACAAUUAUUGUUCAUACUCUGUUCUGAGUGUCUUA
This 198-nucleotide small RNA is filed under the name Mus caroli (Ryukyu mouse). Its description in RNAcentral is "sRNA (MGP_CAROLIEiJ_G0008523.1)". It matches the Rfam family "7SK RNA", at positions 79 to 331 of the family's 331-position model. Rfam says of the family: 7SK was discovered as an abundant small nuclear RNA in the mid-70s but a possible function has only recently been suggested. Two independent studies have found that 7SK RNA binds the CDK9/cyclin T complex (known as elongation factor P-TEFb). P-TEFb activates transcription by phosphorylating the C-terminal domain of RNA polymerase II. Lineage: Eukaryota; Metazoa; Chordata; Mammalia; Rodentia; Muridae. The record is from RNAcentral.